UACAGAGGUCUCAAGCGUUGUUCGGAUUCAUUGGGCGUAAAGGGUGCGUAGGCUGCGCAGAAAGUUGGGUGUGAAAUCCCUCGGCUUAACCGAGGAACUGCGCCCAAAACUACUGUGCUUGAGGGAGACAGAGGUGAGCGGAACUUAGGGUGGAGCGGUGAAAUGCGUUGAUAUCCUAAGGAACACCCGUGGCGAAAGCGGCUCACUGGGUCUCUUCUGACGCUGAUGCACGAAAGCUAGGGGAGCGAACGGG
RNAcentral lists this ribosomal RNA (253 nucleotides) under uncultured bacterium. RNAcentral's name for it is "partial 16S ribosomal RNA". It matches the Rfam family "Bacterial small subunit ribosomal RNA", at positions 524 to 776 of the family's 1533-position model. The record is from RNAcentral.